GUCCUGACUCAACAGCGUGGCUGCGUUCAGAGCACUUUUCCGGAGCUAGGUCCUUGCUAUCCAGAGGGAUCUUGGUCAACUGGACAGAGGUGGUGAAGACCAGGGGCCAUUAUGAAUGGACAAGUGCUCUCUGAUGCAUUUAUUUAUCUACAUCAUCCCCAAAGUCACUGACAGAAAUACAAACAGGAUCCAAAAGAUCAGAAUGGGCUUUUCUUGGGCUUCCCUGCCUUCCCAGCGACCGUGCUGCGUGGACUUUCAGGAGGAAAGAAGAGCUCCAGGGCCUCCCCGACGCCAGGAGCGGGGCGGUCUUUCCCACCAGUGGGAGCAGAUUGGAACCUUCCCAGGUCCAGUAGCAGCUGCUGAGAACAGAGGGAGCAGCUGGCCUGGCAGGGGGCCACACUUAGCUUUGGCUUUCUCAGCGUUUACAUCCACCGCCCACGCAGGGGAUGCAGGUUUAAAUUGGAUGUGAAUAGGGAGUAUUUAAUUUGGACUCGUGAAUACGGAGUAUAUUUAAGUGGCCUUAACCACUUUGACUUUGCUUGCAGUCAGCUGUCACUGGGCAUCAGUCUGAAGCCU
Molecule: long non-coding RNA, 576 nt
Filed under: Homo sapiens (human)
Lineage: Eukaryota; Metazoa; Chordata; Mammalia; Primates; Hominidae
Description: novel transcript
Source: RNAcentral